CAGCGGAGGAGGACUGCUUCGGAGCCGCGGAUAACCGAGCUGGCAGAAGACCCUAGUGCUGCCUUUCCUCAGCAGCGCCACGCGAGCUCUGCUGCGGUGCCCACUCUGGCUGCCGUCCCCUCCCUGAGAGGGCUGCGCGGGCUGGAAGACGCUCAGACGCCGGCUCCGGUCCCCUUUCUGUCUCUUAGUUCUUCUUUCCUCCCAAGUAAGGGAAUAAGCUCCGAGGAAGGAGCGCUCCGAGGAACCGCGCAACCAAGUGUUGCCUGGUGAGAGGACAAGCAAGGAUUUCCAAAUUUGCCUUGACUAUAGAUAGGAUGUUCCCUGAGGAAUAACAGAGGCCUUCACUCACCUGCUGGGAGGUGCCCACCGCCUCCAUAGACACUUGGAUCCCCGAGGCAUCUCCCGAAGGGCUUGUCUAUCACAUACCUGCAAUGAGCCGGGCCCUGGGCUGGGCCACAGUUUCACCCUGGUGAGCAAAACUCCAUCCUCAGCCUCAAGUGUUCGUAUCCAGCUUCAAGAUGAGUGAAGAACGCUGGGUGUCCCUCACUCCUGAAGAAUUUGACCAACUCCAGAAAUAUUUGGAAUAUUCUCCCAAGAAGAUAAAGGAUGUCUUGUCUGAAUUUAAUGAGAGUGGAAGCCUCAAACAAUAUCAAUUACAUGAGACAAUUAGCUAUGAUGUCUUCAAGCUGUUCAUGAAGGCAUACCUGGAGGUGGACCUUCCCCAGCCACUGAGCACGCACCUCUUCCUGGCCUUCAGCCAGAAGCCCAGACAGGAGAUUCCUGAGCGCCCAAAGGAGGAGACCAGUAACAGCGAGGCUGGUGCCCCAGAUUCUGAUAUACAGAAUGCAGAUAAUGCUGCCAAAGCAGAUGAGGCCUGUGCCCCUGAUACAGAAUCAAAGAUCACCGAGAAGCAGGUGCCAGCUAAAGACCAAGUGGCUGCAGCGGCCGUGGGAAACGCUGCUGCCCAGCCUGCAGACUCAGACGCCCCCACCGUGCACCUGAAGGACGUGGUGUGCUACCUGUCCCUGCUGGAGACAGGCAGACCUCAGGAUAAGCUAGAGUUCAUGUUCCGUCUCUAUGAUUCGGAUGAGAACGGUCUUCUGGAUCAAGCGGAGAUGGAUCGUAUUGUCACCCAAAUGCUGCACAUUGCUCAGUAUCUUGAAUGGGAUCCCACGGAGUUAAGGCCUAUACUGAAGGAGAUGUUGCAGGGGAUGGACUACGACCGGGACGGCUUUGUGUCUCUGCAGGAAUGGGUCCAUGGAGGGAUGACCACCAUCCCAUUGCUGGUCCUCCUGGGCAUGGACGACUCCGGCUUCAAGGGGGAUGGCAGGCACGCCUGGACCAUGAAGCAUUUCAAGAAACCAACUUACUGCAACUUCUGCCACGUCAUGCUGAUGGGCGUUCGGAAGCAAGGCCUGUGCUGCUCGUACUGUAAAUAUACUGUCCACGAACGCUGUGUGUCCAAAAACAUUCCUGGGUGUGUCAAAACGUACUCAAAAGCCAAAAGGGGCGGCGAGGUGAUGCAGCACGCGUGGGUGGAAGGGAACUCCUCCGUCAAGUGUGACCGGUGCCACAAAAGUAUCAAGUGCUACCAGAGUGUCACCGCGUGGCACUGCGUGUGGUGCCGGAAGACGUUUCACCGCAAAUGUGAAUUAUCCACAGUGUGUGAUGGUGGGGAACUCAAAGACCACAUCCUGCUGCCCACCUCGAUAUGCCCCAUCACCCGGGACAGGCCAGGUGGGAAGUCUGAUGGCAGCGCGUUGGCCAAGGGUGAACUUGCAGUGCAGUAUAAGAUCAUCCCCACUCCGGGUACCCACCCCCUGUUGGUCUUGGUGAACCCCAAGAGUGGAGGGAGACAAGGAGAAAGAAUUCUUCGGAAAUUCCACUAUCUGCUCAACCCCAAACAAGUUUUCAACCUGGACAAUGGGGGGCCUACUCCAGGACUGAACUUUUUCCGUGACACCCCAGACUUCCGAGUCCUGGCCUGCGGAGGAGAUGGGACCGUCGGCUGGAUUUUGGAUUGCAUUGAUAAGGCCAACUUCGCCAAGCAUCCACCGGUGGCUGUCCUGCCUCUUGGAACAGGAAAUGACCUGGCCAGGUGUCUCCGCUGGGGAGGAGGUUACGAAGGAGGAAGCCUGACGAAAAUCCUGAAGGAGAUCGAGCAGAGCCCCUUGGCGAUGCUGGACCGCUGGCACCUGGAAGUCAUCCCCAGAGAAGAAGUGGAGAAUGGGGACCAGGUCCCGUAUGACAUCAUGAACAACUACUUCUCCAUCGGCGUGGAUGCUUCUAUUGCACACCGGUUCCACGUGAUGAGAGAGAAACACCCUGAGAAAUUCAACAGCAGGAUGAAGAACAAGCUGUGGUACUUUGAAUUUGGCACCUCAGAGACCUUUGCAGCCACCUGCAAGAAACUCCACGACCACAUAGAGUUGGAGUGUGAUGGGGUUGGGGUGGACCUGAGCAACAUCUUCCUUGAAGGCAUCGCCAUUCUCAACAUUCCCAGCAUGUACGGUGGCACCAAUCUCUGGGGAGAAACCAAAAAGAACCGAGCUAUGAUCCGGGAGAGCAGGAAGGUUGUCACUGACCCUAAGGAACUGAAAUUCUGCGUCCAAGACCUCAGUGACCAGCUGCUUGAAGUGGUGGGGCUGGAGGGAGCCAUGGAAAUGGGGCAGAUCUACACCGGCCUGAAGAGUGCGGGCCGGAGGCUGGCCCAGUGCUCCUCCGUCACCAUCAGGACAAACAAGCUGCUGCCGAUGCAAGUGGACGGAGAGCCCUGGAUGCAGCCACCUUGCACAAUUAAAAUUACUCAUAAGAACCAAGCACCCAUGAUGAUGGGACCUCCCCAGAAGAGCAGCUUCUUUUCGCUGAGGAGGAAGAGCCGUUCAAAAGACUAAACAGUGUGCCAAUUGCCAGUUAAACGAAGAGAGAAAACAAGAAACUGUAACACACACACAAACAUACAAAUAUACACACUCUCCUCUCUAACCAGUGGAAAUGAAGCCACUCUUUGGGAGGAAACCUUCACCCUGCCAACAUUCUCUCGAUUUCAACGAUGGACAUACCCCAACAGAGCCAGUGACAACAAAACAUUUCGAAUGGAUGUAGGGCCCGUGUCCUGCAGUACAUUCUGAAUGAAGGUUAGCUCAUGCAGCAACCUCCCCACUCCCAGAAGGCCUUGCGUGAGACUUUCUGAGAUUGAAGGAGAAACCCCCCUUUCUUCCCACCAGUGCUAUAAGUUUCCUCAUGGACACUCGCAAGGAGCAGGCUGCAGGUUUCCUGCUGGUGGUGAGAUCGGAUGUGGCCAAGGGAAUGAGCUCCCAUUCCAGACAACUUACACAAAGGUCCCUCUGUAACGAGACAAACAGUCUCCGACACUCAGAACAUAACCCUUGGCAGAGCCCGGCCAGUGCACGUUGGUUUCUUGGUUGUCCUUCGAGCGACAGCUUCUCUCUGAACCUGCUGAGGAGGCAGAAAGGCUGUGGAAAGCUGUGCUUCCAUUCUUGGUUCCCUGCACUGUCCGUGGGCACUUGUUAUUUCCUGAAGCCUUCUCCUUCUCCUGGUGGCUGUGUUUGUUUAGAGACGGCUCCAAGAGCCCCCAGAGCUGCCUGCACAGGACACCUUAAAUGUGGUAUUUAUUUUCUUAGUUCUGUGAACACCUGGGAGGGAAAGCAGAGAAACUGGGAUUUAUUUUUCAAAUUGGUGUCAUAAUAUUGUGUAAAAAAGGGAAGAAAAAAAACCACCCCCAGCUUCUUUCUUUUUCAAGCCAAAGCGUGUUUCCUGUUUGAGUUGCAAACCCUGGUGGCAGUGUGUUCCUGAAGGCAGGGAGGGAGUCAGGAGGGAAGGGCCGUUUGCUGAGGAGACCAGCAGACAAAGCACUGGGAGGGUCCUCCCCGCCCCCCACCUCUUUGCACCUAGCACUCCCAGAGUAUGUAUGGCCUGAAGCCCCUGCUGAUGACCGUCUUCUGUGCGUGUACAUAUGUGUAGCAUAUAUAUUUAUAAAUAUAAGUAUUUAUUUACUAAUGGACUUUCCCCGAUUGAAAACAAAAUAUGUAGUAUAAGAACAGAAAAUGGGAAAGAUAAAGAAGGUUUUUACUCCCUCAUUCCACCAUUUCCAUGUCAAGACACAUUGUCCCACGGUGGCUGUGAGAUUUAAGGAAAAUGAAAGUAACUUUGUGUCACAGAGAGACUGAGAGUUUCUGUUCCGGAUCCUCUGAACAACCAUGAAAUAGAUACUGGGCAGGAUUUAUUCUCCCAUUUGUCAGAUAAGGAAACUGAGUCUUAGGACAGUUAAGAGACUUGUCCACGGUAUCUUGGCUAAUGGGGUUUGGGAACAGGUGCCACCUAAGACAUUCAGUAGAGAAAAUAACCCACACUCCUUGGAAUAGGGUCAUUUCUGGUCGCUGAGAAUGACUCCACUUGGAUCCAGGUUGCCAGGGGAGAACGAAUGUGCAGCACAUGUGUGGACGGGACAAGCCCACGUGAGAAAAUGAGGCCUCACGAGGCUCCCCAGAGAUUCUCUCCGGCCCGAACUGGUAAGAAGUUGGUCUGGGGUUGAAGGCCCUGAACAGAUCAUCAAAUUCUCCACUUAUCACUUCAUUGUGGUCAUCAGAGUCUCUCAGUAUGGAAACAACCCUGGCUGCUGGGAUAACCUCAGUGGAGAGUCACAAAAGGACUGAGGUACCUUCUGCAAGGUACUUCCAGCCAGUACCCAGAGGGGUCUCGGCAGAGUUCAGUGGGCUUCAUUCAGCAGGUGGUGGCAUUGCCUUCCUCUCCCGAGGGCCAGUGCCUAUGAAACUUCUUUGGUAAAAGAAACAUUUGCUUCAGCACUUUUGCUCCCCCAGGCCUCCACACUCUCUGAGAUUUCUCAAGGGGAAACCUGGACCCACUGGACACUGCCCCACUGAGCUUCCUCUAACCUCCUUGCACUGGGUCAGGAGCUUUGCACAAGGAAGAGAAAAUUAAGAUUGUGUGUACAAAUUGAUUCUAAUUGUGAAGGAAGCAGUCUUCUAGGACCAUGUAGGACAGACAUCAAGGACCAUCCUGCUGAACCUAACAGUGCAGAACACUCAGCAAGGAGAAAACCGGGCCGCCCGAAGAAUCUCCUGAGUGAUGGGAUCCAUGAUGAUGGGACCAAGCUCCAGAAUGACAACAGAUAGCAAGAGGCAGGAGACUGAACGGAAAAGAAGAGGAUCCUACAGCAAGUUGCUGACCCAGCUAACGGCACAGCUGCCCUCUUCCGUAGAAUGGGAGAAAGAACCUUUUGUGCCUCUCUGUAGCGUUGUCCUCAAUGCUCGGCAGAUAUCUCAGAGAAGUUGUUAUUGCUAGCAAGUAAUCAUAAUUCCAAGAAGCCACCAGCAAAGGGGGUUCUUAUGGAUGCUUUUCUUUCUGAAGAAAACAAGUAAGACCCCACUAUCUUGGAAGAGUCUGACAAAUGUUCCCUAGAGGCUGCUGAGGAAGGGAGCCAUUCCACAUUCCCUUGUGGUAUGAGGAAUGGAGGAACCUUCCUGGGAAACAAGAGCAACAGGAGGAGUAGGCUAUAGCCUGGCUCAGCCACGUGACCUUGGGCAUGUCCUUUAGCCUUGUGAGAUCUCUUUCUUGAUCUACCAAACAAGAAGGCUCUAAAGACCUUCCCACUUCAGUGACCUUGCUUUCACCCAGGGCAAAUGCUGCGUCCAUCGGAGAGAUGGCAGGGUCCUCAUUCUCGUGGGUCUCCCCCACCCCGCUGACCUAGGAGGGCUACUGCCAGCCCUUCUGCUGAGAAUCGAUCUUCCCUCUUGAGGACUGAUCAUGCUCAGAAAUCAAUGGCUUUGUGGAGGCCAUCAUGAAAGAAACACUACAGGGAACCUCUUUGAUAAGCCCUCCUCCUAUACACACACUUGCAUACACAAAUACAGACACACACACUCAACUCCUAAAGUGUGAGCAUUUUCCAUUCUAUGUGUGAAAUCUAUUUUACCCUUUGUAACUGCCAGUGUGUUUGGAGGGAAUUCAAUCCCACUAAUGGAAAAGCACUGCUUCCUUUUAGGGAACUUAGCUAACCCUCAGUGUUUGGGGGUGACCCUGGACAGAAGGUGAAGCUACAGGUUGUAACACACCUCCACUGCGGCCCAUAAAUGUAGGCUCUACCAGCCGAGACUGAGGCAGUAACUAGUUAGCACAGUGCCGGGGUCCUUCCCUUUUUGCUCGUCCACCUCCACUGCCUCCCCACCCAUAGAUAUGUUGUUCCGUAAUGGUUGCCUUCUCCAGCCUGCCCAUCUGCCUGCAUAGAGUGCCGUGGACUCGUUCUGUAAUGCACUGUGUAUA
Artibeus jamaicensis (Jamaican fruit-eating bat) is the source of this 6303-nucleotide RNA transcript. It is a transcript of the gene named diacylglycerol kinase gamma, with no coding region annotated. The record is from RefSeq and is a predicted model, not a curated record. Lineage: Eukaryota; Metazoa; Chordata; Mammalia; Chiroptera; Phyllostomidae. The transcript is spliced from 26 exons.